GACGAACGCUGGCGGCGUGCUUAACACAUGCGAGUCGAACGGAAAGGCCCUGCUUUUGUGGGGUGCUCGAGUGGCGAACGGGUGAGUAACACGUGAGUAACCUGCCCUUGACUUUGGGAUAACUUCAGGAAACUGGGGCUAAUACCGGAUAGGAGCUCCUGCUGCAUGGUGGGGGUUGGAAAGUUUCGGCGGUUGGGGAUGGACUCGCGGCUUAUCAGCUUGUUGGUGAGGUAGUGGCUUACCAAGGCUUUGACGGGUAGCCGGCCUGAGAGGGUGACCGGGCCAAGUGGGACAGAGAGAGGGGGGGGAGGAAGACGUGAGGAAGUAGGGGGGAAGAGUGCACAAUGGGGGGAAGUCUGAGGCGGAGACGCAGGGUGCGGGAGGCCGGCCUUCGGGGUGUGAAAAGCGGUCGCAGGAGACGAAGAGAGAGGGACGGUAAGUAGUAAGGAAGCACCGGCUAACUACGUG
Molecule: ribosomal RNA, 468 nt
Filed under: uncultured bacterium
Lineage: Bacteria
Description: partial 16S ribosomal RNA
Rfam family: Bacterial small subunit ribosomal RNA
Source: RNAcentral